This is a long non-coding RNA of Girardinichthys multiradiatus, 1523 nucleotides long. RefSeq lists it as uncharacterized. NCBI's taxonomy places the organism in Eukaryota, Metazoa, Chordata, Actinopteri, Cyprinodontiformes, Goodeidae. The transcript is spliced from 2 exons. The record is from RefSeq and is a predicted model, not a curated record.
GCCAGCACUUCAACGCCUGAGUGUUAGCCAACAAUGGUCGCUUUCAAGCCCUGGCUCUGUUUCCAGUUCGUUUCCUGACUUAGGAUCAAAGAUUCAAGCCUCCAGUUCCUUCUCUAGACAAACUCCUAGCUGGCAGCUUCCUGGCUCUGCGAUCAACCAGCCACAGUCAUAAGCAAACCUUGUUCACCCUCCAAUGAGCUCCUGUGCAAGCCCCACCACCCAGCGCACCACGCCACCUUCUUCACACCAGGGACUAAGCUCAACUGGACAUCCCGGAAACCUCCUUCAAGCAUUUAUUGACCAAUUUACCUUGGAUAUAACCCUCCUCAGUUUCCUCUGGUCUCGUGUUCCCAGACUCCACAUCUCGUUCACCCUGGCGGUUCAACCAUCUCCUCCAGUAAGCGUUUCAUAUUACGUUACUAUAAUGGUCAUCCCAUCUCAGUAUCUACCUGUUUCCCCUUCUCUGUGCAGUUGGUGAUCUACCGUUCCUGGUUCUCUUGCCACUACUCAUUCCUGUGAAAAUAAAUCUCUUAAACAUCUGAAUAUUCUCCUGAUUGUAUUUCUGUACAUGGGUCAGAUCUGUUUCUACAAUCAUGACAGAGGUACUUGUUGGUUCCUUUUUAUUAUAAAAACAUUGUGAGUCUUUUUUGUCUGUGCUCAUUUUCACCAUCUGCUUGUAUUACAUGUUACCAAAUCAGAUUAGGAUUGAAGUCGGGACUCUGGCUGGGCUUAAUACUAUUCAGAAACAUGUUGCAAGGUCAAAAGAUUACUUUAAACCAAAGUCUGCAGGAAUAUAUGUCUAUGCUGCUAGAAAACUACCCCCUGUUGUUUUGGUACAAUUCCCACCUACUUAACCCAAGGCUUAAAAUGUUCCUUUUUGAUAAAGUAUAUUGUAACUGUGGCUUAGGUUUGCCUCAGCUGUCUCUUUAAUGAUGCUGCUAUAGGCUUAGGCUGCUGGAGGACAUACCAACCAAUUUUUCCCACACUGCUGUUUUCUCCUCCUACUCUCUAUUUAUUGAUUAUUUGCUGUUGUGGCUGCUAACUAUGUGUAUUUUUUUUUCCCAUGAAAAGUAAUCUUGGAGCAGUGCUUUGGUGUUUCCCUUCUUCUCCUUCCAGCCCCUAUGUGGUCACAACAGAUAUUUCUUCCUGAGCCAGGAUCUGCUGGCAGUUUAUUUCUGCUUAAAGGAAGUAGUUUCUUUCUGCUGUCGCCACAUGCUUGCUCAGGUUGAGAAAUUGACUAAGCUUCCUUACAUAAAUACCAUUUUAUCAACUGGCAUUAAAUCAUCAACUAAAUCUGACCAUUUUUUUAUUACAAAUUUGAAUGAAUCACACUAUUUGAUUCUAAGUAUGUGAUUACAUUGUAUUAGAAUGAAGUGGACUUAUUUGAACUGAAGUUGGUAUAAACUGGAAUGCAUAUCAUUGGAUGUUUAUUGGAGCUGUUUUUCUUGUAAAGUGCCUUUACAUUACCUUUAAAGUAAACUGGUGUUCUGUAAAUAUAAAUAAAUGAAUGAAUUGUUUCUUUG